GACGAACGCUGGCGGCGUGCUUAACACAUGCAAGUCGAACGGAAAGGCCCUGCUUUUGUGGGGUGCUCGAGUGGCGAACGGGUGAGUAACACGUGAGUAACCUGCCCUUGACUUUGGGAUAACUUCAGGAAACUGGGGCUAAUACCGGAUAUGAGCUCCUGCGGCAUGGUGGGGGUUGGAAAGUUUCGGCGGUUGGGGCUGGGCUCGCGGCUUAUCAGCUUGUUGGUCGGGUAGUGGUUUACCAAGGCUUUGACGGGUAGCCGGCCUGAGAGGGUGACCGGCCACCUUGGGACUGAGAUGCGGCCGAGACGCGUACGGGAGGCAGAAGGGGGGAAUAUUGCACAAUGGGCGGAAGCCUGAUGCAGCAACGCCGCGUGCGGGAUGACGGCCUUCGGGUUGUAAACCGCUUUCGCCUGUGACGAAGCGUGAGUGACGGUAAUGGGUAAAGAAGCAACGGCUAACUACGUG
Molecule: ribosomal RNA, 468 nt
Filed under: uncultured bacterium
Lineage: Bacteria
Description: partial 16S ribosomal RNA
Rfam family: Bacterial small subunit ribosomal RNA
Source: RNAcentral